Molecule: ribosomal RNA, 465 nt
Filed under: uncultured bacterium
Lineage: Bacteria
Description: partial 16S ribosomal RNA
Rfam family: Bacterial small subunit ribosomal RNA
Source: RNAcentral
GACGAACGCUGGCGGCGUGCUUAACACAUGCAAGUCGAACGGAAAGGCCCCUUUGGGGGUACUCGAGUGGCGACCGGGUGAGUAACACGUGAGUAACCUGCCCCUGACUUCGGGAUAACUUCAGGAAACUGGGGCUAAUACUGGAUAGGAAUCCUUGCUGCAUGGUGGGGGUUGGAAAGCUUCGGCGGUUUUGGAUGGACUUGCGGCGUAUCAGCUUGUUGGUGGGGUAGUGGGUUACCAAGGCUUUGUCGGGUAGCCGGCCUGAGAGGGCGACCGGCCACCUUGGGGCCGAGGGGCGGCCCAGGCUCCUACGGGGCGGAACAGGGGGGAAUAUUGCACAAUGGGCGGAAGCCUAGUGCAGCAACGCCGCGGGCGGGAUGACGGCCUUCGGGGUGUAAACCGAUUUCAGCAGGGGCGAAGCUUGUGGUGACGGUACCUGCAGAAGAAGCACCGGCUAACUACGUG